Molecule: ribosomal RNA, 253 nt
Filed under: uncultured bacterium
Lineage: Bacteria
Description: partial 16S ribosomal RNA
Rfam family: Bacterial small subunit ribosomal RNA
Source: RNAcentral
UACGUAGGGUGCAAGCGUUGUCCGGAAUUAUUGGGCGUAAAGAGCUCGUAGGCGGUUCGUCGCGUCGGCUGUGAAAUCCCGAGGCUCAACCUCGGGUCUGCAGUCGAUACGGGCGGACUGGAGUACUGCAGGGGAGACUGGAAUUCCUGGUGUAGCGGUGAAAUGCGCAGAUAUCAGGAGGAACACCGAUUGCGAAGGCAGCUCGCUGGGACGUAACUGACGCUGAGACGCGAAAGCGUGGGGAGCAAACAGG